GGAAAAUAUCAGCACCCUCGUAAAUAACAAGCAACAGAUCAAACUGCCCCAUAUUCCACGCCCAAAUCGUUUACAUAAAUUUUCUCCAAACACCAUUCACAUACACAACAACAUCGAAUUGUAACACCAUAAGUUAUUUUCAGCAAGAGAGUCUCUAAGUUCAUUUCUUGUUCUUAUAUUUCUCUACCCUUUUUGCAACUCACUCGACAACACCAUAACCAUAAACCACCCCAUUAGAGACGGCGACGUUUUGGUCUCUAACGGCUUAGGAAACUUCGCACUAGGUUUCUUCAGCCCGCGAAACUCCACAAACCGUUACGUUGGGAUUUGGUACGACAAAAUCUCGGAACAAACGUCGUGUGGGUUGCCAACAGAGACACUCCUCUAAACGACACUUCCGGUGUUCUCAAAAUCAUCAAAAACGGAAACCUCGUACUCCACGACAACAACACCCGAAACCUUAACCCCGUUUGCUCCUCCAACGUUUCUUUCCGUUGAAUCCACAAAUAACGUUUCAGCCAAGCUUCUGGACACAGGAAACCUAGUUUUGGUCCAAACCGAAGACAACAAGGUUUUGUGGCAGAGUUUUGAUUAUUAUGCUUCCGUUAAUGAAACCGGUUCCUAAUAUCUUGGAAAUCUCCAAACAACCCGGGAACCGGGAACAUGACUUAUAAAAUCGACCCAAUCGGGUUUCUGCAAUUGUUUCUUUACAAAGACAAAAAAACCGGUUUGGAGGGUCGGUCAGAGAUGGAGUGGGGUGCCUGAGAUGACACCAAAUUUCAUCUUCAUUCUUCACCGUGAGAUAUGUCAACAAUGAGUGCGAGGAAUGGUUCCUUAGAGAUGGGUCGGGCGGGUGCGUGAGAAAGAGUAAUUGUCCACGUGUCGGAGCGGGGAGGGGUUUGUGGAGGUGGCGCGUGUGGUCCCAAUUAUUGGGAUGAGAGUGUAGGGAGAGAUGCUUGAGGGAUUUGUUCGUAUACCGCGUACACGAGCGCGAACGUGAGUUCUGGAAGUGGGUGUGUUACUUGGCAUGGAGACAUGGAGGACACAAGGACUUACACACAAGUGUGACAAAGUUUGUUCGUGCGAGUCCAGAAGCUUGAAUUAGGGUCUAUUGAGUAAUGGAAUGGAAAUAGCAGUGAAGAGACUGUCAAAGUACUCUGGACAAGGCAUAGAAGAGUUUAAAAAUGAGGUUCUUUUGAUCUCAACGCUCCAACACAGAAAUCUUGUGAGGAUCUUAGGUUGCUGCAUUCAAGGAGAGGAGAAGAUGUUAAUCUAUGAGUAUUUGCCUGACAAAAGUUUGGACUUGGUAUGUCAUGUUUUCAACUUUGCUGCUUAGUACUUUGAGCUCUCACUUUGGACGUAGCCAUGCCAAUACCUAUCCAUUUAUAGUGACAUCUUCAUGCAUCAAGUAACAACAAUUCAUCUAACAUGCUUCACUCUUGGUACCUUGAAGUUUUGGUCCAGAUGAAUCGAAAAGGUCGCAAUUAGACUGGAAAAAACGAUUUGAUAUCAUCUGUGGUGUUGCUAGAGGAAUGUUAUACCUUCAUCAAGAUUCACGAUUGAGAAUCAUUCAUAGAGACCUAAAAGCCAGGCAUGCCUUGAUGGACUCUGUAUUGAACCCCAAAAUUGCAGAUUUUGGUAUGGCUAGAGAGACCAAAUUGCAGCAAACGCAAAUCGUGUUGUUGGAACCUAGAAAGUAUUCAACGACACACAUGACAUUAAUUAGUUUCAUUGCAUUAUAUGUUACUUAAAUUCCCACGUCAAUUCAAAAGCUAUUCAAACACUACAUAACGGCUGUCAUCAGAAUAUGCCAUGGAAGGACAAUUUUCAAUAAAGUCUGAUGUAUACAGCUUCGGAGUUUUACUUCUAGAGAUGGUUACGGGCAGAAAGAAUAGUGGUCUAUAUGAAGACAUUACAGCCACAAAUUUAGUUGGCCAUUGUAGAUAUGGGAUCUAUGUAGAGAAGGCAAAACCAUGGAGAUUGUUGAUCAAUCAUUAGGAGAGUCAUGCUCUGAUCAAGAAGUACAAAGAUGCAUCCAAAUUGUUCCUUUGUGUGUGCAAGAUUAUGCUGCUGACAGAGCAUCUAUGUCAGCAGUUGUUUUCAUGUUGGGUAAUAACUCUUCCUGCUCCAAAACAACCAGCAUUUGUUUUCAAGAAAACUAAUUACGAGAGUUCAAAUCCAUCAACCAGUGAAGGAAUUUAUUCAGUAAAUGAUGCAAGUAUAACUAUAAUUGAAGCUCGCUGAAGGCCAAGGCUUUUGGAUAGAAUAUGUGGAAAACGGAAAACCUGUAUGCUAUUAUAUGAUGCUGUAGUACCAUGAAUCCAACAAUACUAAGGUUUGUCAAAAUAUUGUAUAUGAUAUUUCACAUAUUAUCCAAUUUAGAACGAUGGUAUAAAAAUCAAGAGUAAUAAGGGGUUGAGAUUCCCCACAUUUCACUUCUUGUUGUAUAACUACACUGCUCUAAGUAUAUUUUUGUAUAAGCAAAAACUGUAGAUCUCGUUAAUAAGAGUAUGCAUUA
Glycine soja is the source of this 2518-nucleotide RNA transcript. It is a transcript of the gene named G-type lectin S-receptor-like serine/threonine-protein kinase RKS1, with no coding region annotated. Lineage: Eukaryota; Viridiplantae; Streptophyta; Magnoliopsida; Fabales; Fabaceae. The transcript is spliced from 4 exons. The record is from RefSeq and is a predicted model, not a curated record.